This 482-nucleotide ribosomal RNA is filed under the name uncultured bacterium. Its description in RNAcentral is "partial 16S ribosomal RNA". It matches the Rfam family "Bacterial small subunit ribosomal RNA", at positions 30 to 507 of the family's 1533-position model. The record is from RNAcentral.
AUUGAACGCUGGCGGCAUGCCUUACACAUGCAAGUCGAACGGUAACGGGCCUUCGGGUGCCGACGAGUGGCGCACGGGUGAGUAAUACAUCGGAACGUGCCCGAUCGUGGGGGAUAACGAGGCGAAAGCUUUGCUAAUACCGCAUACGAUCUACGGAUGAAAGCAGGGGACCGCAAGGCCUUGCGCGGACGGAGCGGCCGAUGGCGGAUUAGGUAGUUGGUGGGAUAAAAGCUUACCAAGCCGACGAUCUGUAGCUGGUCUGAGAGGAUGAUCAGCCACACUGGGACUGAGACACGGCCCAGACUCCUACGGGAGGCAGCAGUGGGGAAUUUUGGACAAUGGGCGCAAGCCUGAUCCAGCCAUGCCGCGUGCAGGAUGAAGGCCUUCGGGUUGUAAACUGCUUUUGUACGGAACGAAAAGCCUUCUUUUAAUACAGGAGGGUCAUGACGGUACCGUAAGAAUAAGCACCGGCUAACUACGUG